RNAcentral lists this small nucleolar RNA (161 nucleotides) under Debaryomyces hansenii. Its description in RNAcentral is "Small nucleolar RNA snR8". It matches the Rfam family "Small nucleolar RNA snR8". Lineage: Eukaryota; Fungi; Ascomycota; Pichiomycetes; Serinales; Debaryomycetaceae. The record is from Rfam by way of RNAcentral.
UUUUUCUUUGAUACGAAAGCUUCCUAUUCACUGCACCAUUCUUUAAUCAAUGAGUGACUGGAGGGGAAAAGGAAAGCGAGAAAGAAACAUCGAAUAACGUCCUCAUACUAAGUUUGCUUGUAUUUUGUAGCAUAUUUGGAUUCUGCGUUUUCGAAACAUGC